RNAcentral lists this long non-coding RNA (588 nucleotides) under Oryzias sinensis (Chinese medaka). RNAcentral describes it as "lncRNA (ENSOSIG00000005725.1)". Lineage: Eukaryota; Metazoa; Chordata; Actinopteri; Beloniformes; Adrianichthyidae. The record is from RNAcentral.
GGUUUGGUUUCCAUGAAGAAGAUGAGCACCGCUGGACAGCAGAGGCUCCCUCAGGUUCCUGGACGGUCCCGGCCACAAGCAGUCAGAACCGGAUCAGCACAGCGUACGCAGGAAACCAAGGCGAUUUUCUCCAAAUGCCCGCGGUGAGCUUCGAUCUGGGCAACGAGUGGGACGACUUUGAGGACGAGAAGCUGCUGCGGGCCAGCGAGGGCUUUGGGGCGGAUCCUCAGAGGCUGCAGAAUGCUGAGCUCAGAGACUCGGGCAGAGCAGGAGGCUGUGCAGCUCCAUCAGCACCACCUCUGCCCAGCCGCUCCUCCCUCUCUGUAACUCCAGCUGCUCCACACAGGCAAUCCCUCCAAACUCCACACUCCAGCAUGAACACACAGCAUCUGUUUGUCACUGAAAGCACAGCCUCAUGUCCUCAUGCUCCUGUGUUUCAGUUUAAAUCCUGGAAUCAGGAAACGGGGAUCCGCUCAUCUGAGUCAGAGACUCUCAGCUGACAGGAGAAUCACGCUGGACGUCAAGAAAGCGAACAUCUUCAGGGGGCAGUUCCCCCCGGAAACCCCCCCGGAAAGGCUGGCGGUGCAG